AUGAACGCUGGCGGCGUGCUUAACACAUGCAAGUCGAACGGAAAGGCCCAAGCUUGCUUGGGUACUCGAGUGGCGAACGGGUGAGUAACACGUGGGUGAUCUGCCCUGCACUUCGGGAUAAGCCUGGGAAACUGGGUCUAAUACCGGAUAGGACCACAUUUUGGAUGGUGUGGUGGAAAGUUUUUCGGUGUGGGAUGAGCUCGCGGCCUAUCAGCUUGUUGGUGGGGUAAUGGCCUACCAAGGCGUCGACGGGUAGCCGGCCUGAGAGGGUGUACGGCCACAUUGGGACUGAGAUACGGCCCAGACUCCUACGGGAGGCAGCAGUGGGGAAUAUUGCACAAUGGGCGCAAGCCUGAUGCAGCGACGCCGCGUGGGGGAUGACGGCCUUCGGGUUGUAAACUCCUUUCGCUAGGGACGAAGCGUUUUUGUGACGGUACCUGGAGAAGAAGUACCGGCUAACUACGUG
RNAcentral lists this ribosomal RNA (466 nucleotides) under uncultured bacterium. RNAcentral describes it as "partial 16S ribosomal RNA". It matches the Rfam family "Bacterial small subunit ribosomal RNA", at positions 29 to 507 of the family's 1533-position model. The record is from RNAcentral.